This 164-nucleotide ribosomal RNA is filed under the name Goodenia ovata. RNAcentral's name for it is "5.8S ribosomal RNA". It matches the Rfam family "5.8S ribosomal RNA". From Rfam's summary of the family: 5.8S ribosomal RNA (5.8S rRNA) is a component of the large subunit of the eukaryotic ribosome. The record is from RNAcentral. RNAcentral also lists the same sequence under 23 other names. Lineage: Eukaryota; Viridiplantae; Streptophyta; Magnoliopsida; Asterales; Goodeniaceae.
CAAACGACUCUCGGCAACGGAUAUCUCGGCUCAUGCAUCGAUGAAGAACGUAGCGAAAUGCGAUACUUGGUGUGAAUUGCAGAAUCCCGUGAACCAUCGAGUUUUUGAACGCAAGUUGCGCCCGAAGCCAUUCGGCCGAGGGCACGUCUGCCUGGGCGUCACGC